GAUGAACGCUGGCGGCGUGCCUAAUACAUGCAAGUCGAGCGAACGGACGAGAAGCUUGCUUCUCUGAUGUUAGCGGCGGACGGGUGAGUAACACGUGGAUAACCUACCUAUAAGACUGGGAUAACUUCGGGAAACCGGAGCUAAUACCGGAUAAUAUUUUGAACCGCAUGGUUCAAAAGUGAAAGACGGUCUUGCUGUCACUUAUAGAUGGAUCCGCGCUGCAUUAGCUAGUUGGUAAGGUAACGGCUUACCAAGGCAACGAUGCAUAGCCGACCUGAGAGGGGGAGAGGACAAACGGGAGAUGGGCACCGGAGCAGACGACGCCGGGAGGACGGAGCAUGGAAGGUGGCGCAAUGGGCGAAAGUCCGAAGAAGGAAUAACGCGGGAAAGAUGAAAGUCGUCAGAUCGUAAAACUCUGUUAUCAGGGCAGAACAGAUGUGCAAGUACAUGUUCAGAGCUUGCAGGUACCUAAGUAGAAAGCAAAGGCUAACUACGUG
Molecule: ribosomal RNA, 497 nt
Filed under: uncultured bacterium
Lineage: Bacteria
Description: partial 16S ribosomal RNA
Rfam family: Bacterial small subunit ribosomal RNA
Source: RNAcentral